UACGUAGGGGGCAAGCGUUGUCCGGAAUCAUUGGGCGUAAAGCGCGUGUAGGCGGCCAGAAAAGUCCGCUGUGAAAACUCGAGGCUCAACUUCGAGCUGUCGGUGGAAACUUUCUGGCUAGAGUCCGGAAGAGGAGAAUGGAAUUCCUGGUGUAGCGGUGAGAUGCGCAGAUAUCAGGAAGAACACCCGUGGCGAAAGCGGCUCUCUGGGACGGUACUGACGCUGAGACGCGAAAGCGUGGGGAGCAAACAGG
Molecule: ribosomal RNA, 253 nt
Filed under: uncultured bacterium
Lineage: Bacteria
Description: partial 16S ribosomal RNA
Rfam family: Bacterial small subunit ribosomal RNA
Source: RNAcentral